Molecule: long non-coding RNA, 2056 nt
Organism: Cebus imitator (Panamanian white-faced capuchin)
Lineage: Eukaryota; Metazoa; Chordata; Mammalia; Primates; Cebidae
Source: Ensembl
UGUGUGUCUUAGGAAGCAGAGUAGUGGGCCUCUCCCAUGUCCUAGGAGAGCGGAGAGAACCUUGCUCUCAGGCAGGCUGCUUAGCUGAGGCCUGGAGAUGGCAGCUUGGUCUUCAGGAAAGUCCUGGGGGAGGGGUGGGGAACAGGUGCAGUUGUGCCAGGGGAGCGUGUUAUUAGGGGGAGAUCAGGAGUAAAGCUGUGUUUCUCUUUGUACAGAAUACAGUAAUUUUGAGGGCAGAAAAUGAGAGGGGGCAGCUCUAUCUUGUGUACCACAAGCAGCCGCAAGGCAGGUUUUCAGUGUGGUGUAGGCAGGUCUGAACCACUGUGCCUGUCCCAGGUGGCACAGUAAUAAACGCCAGAAUCACUUUCAGUUAUAUUUUGCACUAUCAAUUUCGAGCUCCUCAUGAUUGCAUAGCUAUCCAACUUCCCUGGACUGACUCCUGAAUCCAACAUAACCCUGGAGUUGUAGGUGUCACAGUACAGAAGACGCUGUGGGGACUUCCCCUCCUGGUGGAGGUACCAAUGGAUGUGUCUGGUAUUUCUCCAGGAAGAUCACAAGUGAUUACAGCAGAUGACCCAGUUGUCCCAGUGACUGACUUCAUUCUCCCUUCCAAGUUGGAAGAUUUCUGACUUUCUGCAAUGGGAACAACACAAAACAUAAUGAGGCAUUCCUUAGUAUGGCACCCCUUGCAAAAGAAGAAAACAAAACCCGUGAGCCUCUCUGUAGGCAGCACACUCACCAGGAGGCAGGAAAGCUAGAAGCAGGGCUAGUGCCCACCCAUGCCUUCCUCUCCUGGGACUUGGAAGGAAAGGGGCCAGGGAAGUGAUCCCUAGCACAGUGAGGGGAACUGGUCUUCCUGAGUCACAGGCCAAGGGAAUUGAUUGAGGAUGUGUCUUAGGGGACUCCCAGCCUUCCUCCCAGAAGGGGUGCUGCCUGGGAGGACCUGCAGAGGAGCUCCUGCCUCUCUGCUCAGGCCCGUUCUCCCGCGCCCUCCUGUGGCAGCUGAGAGCAGGACCACUGCAGAAGAGAGCCAGGGGCAAGGAGAGCUGAGGCCUGCAGCAGAGGGAGUGCAGAUGUGAGGGAAGCUGACCCUGAAGCCUGCUGGCCAGGGCCCUUGGGAGGGAGCAUUCCCACAGUGGGCUCACACCCUGCCCUUCAGAGUUUCAGCAGGUAAGGCUGCUGCCAGGGUCUCAUCCUGGCAGAAGCUUCUGAUUAGGGUCUUGAAUCACCUUCUUUUCAUAUUUGCAAGUCCCUUUGAGGCAAUACCCAGGGCCCUCUGAGAAGGCUUGAACCUGCUUAAUUAACCAGACUGAGGGUUAGGCAUGCUGGUUUGUCUUGGUCUCUACUCAAAGGUAAGAGUCCAGUGGUUUUGUUAGGGUUGGCAUGUGAUCCAUUUGUUCAAGGAUUUCUAUUUGUCCUCAAAUAAAAGGUCCCCUCAAGUCGAAAUUUGACAUUGCAAGGAAGAUAGUUCAAGGUGCAGUGCCUUGCAAUCCUUGAAACAUACUUUAAAUGAAACUUAUUUAUCAUUUAUCUGAAAUUCAAAUUUACCUGGGCAUCAGAUAUUUGGCAACCCUAGCCUCUGAAAGCAAACCGAUGUCUGCUAUUUUCCUGGAUUGAAAGACGGCUUAAUAGCUGGUGAAACAAGUAAAGUAAAAGGAUCUUAAAAUAAAGUCAUGCUUUUCUGCUCUUGUGUCAGUGUGCUGAGAAUGAUGGUUUCCAGGUUCACCCGUGUCCCUACAAAGGACACGAACUCAUCGUUUUUGAUGGCUGCAUAAUAUUCCAUGUUGUAUAUGUGCCACAUUUUCCCUGUCCCAUCUAUCAUCAAUGGGCAUUUGGGUUGGUUCCAGGUCUUUGCUAUUGUAAACAGUGCUGCAAUGAACAUUCGUGUGUACGUGUCCUUAUAGUAGAACGAUUUAUAAUCGUUUGGAUAUAUACCCAGUAAUGGGAUUGCUAGGUCCAAUGGAAUUUUUAUUUCUAGGUCUUUGAGGAAUCGGUUCUCACUCAUAGGCGGGUGUUGAACAAUGAGAACACAUGGACACAGGGAGGGGAGCGCUAC